GACGAACGCUGGCGGCGCGCCUAACACAUGCAAGUCGAACGAGAGAUGAGGAGCUUGCUCUUCAAAUCGAGUGGCGAACGGGUGAGUAACGCGUGAGGAACCUGCCUCAAAGAGGGGGACAACAGUUGGAAACGACUGCUAAUACCGCAUAAGCCCACGGCUCGGCAUCGAGCAGAGGGAAAAGGAGUGAUCCGCUUUGAGAUGGCCUCGCGUCCGAUUAGCUAGUUGGUGAGGUAACGGCCCACCAAGGCGACGAUCGGUAGCCGGACUGAGAGGUUGAACGGCCACAUUGGGACUGAGACACGGCCCAGACUCCUACGGGAGGCAGCAGUGGGGAAUAUUGCACAAUGGGGGAAACCCUGAUGCAGCGACGCCGCGUGGAGGAAGAAGGUCUUCGGAUUGUAAACUCCUGUUGUUGAGGAAGAUAAUGACGGUACUCAACAA
Molecule: ribosomal RNA, 444 nt
Filed under: uncultured bacterium
Lineage: Bacteria
Description: bacterial SSU rRNA
Rfam family: Bacterial small subunit ribosomal RNA
Source: RNAcentral